GAUGAACGCUGGCGGCGUGCCUAAUACAUGCAAGUCGAGCGAACGGACGAGAAGCUUGCUUCUCUGAUGUUAGCGGCGGACGGGUGAGUAACACGUGGAUAACCUACCUAUAAGACUGGGAUAACUUCGGGAAACCGGAGCUAAUACCGGAUAAUAUUUUGAACCGCAUGGUUCAAAAGUAAAAGACGGUCUUGCUGUCACUUAUAGAUGGAUCCGCGCUGCAUUAGCUAGUUGGUAAGGUAACGGCUUACCAAGGCAACGAUGCAUAGCCGACCUGAGAGGGUGAUCGGCCACACUGGAACUGAGACACGGUCCAGACUCCUACGGGAGGCAGCAGUAGGGAAUCUUCCGCAAUGGGCGAAAGCCUGACGGAGCAACGCCACGUGAGUGAUGAAGGUCUUCGGAUCGUAAAACUCUGUUAUUAGGGAAGAACAUAUGUGUAAGUAACUGUGCACAUCUUGACGGUACCUAAUCAGAAAGCCACGGCUAACUACGUG
This 497-nucleotide ribosomal RNA is filed under the name uncultured bacterium. Its description in RNAcentral is "partial 16S ribosomal RNA". It matches the Rfam family "Bacterial small subunit ribosomal RNA", at positions 28 to 507 of the family's 1533-position model. The record is from RNAcentral.